ACAAACGUCAACGCGUUGGCGCCGAAAAAGAAUUGUCAUUGUUAGAAAAUUGAUCGAAACUGCGACACGUUUUUUCCUGACCUGGCAGUUAGUUAGUUUUUAGUGAAUAGUUUUAGAGAAAACAUAGGUGAAAUCUAUUUGGCUAGUUGCGCGUGAUUUGAGUGCUCGCGGGUUUGUGAGUCAGAAGAGGUUAGGUGAUAGAAAUUCCUUACUGCGCAAUUUGCCACUAAAAUAUUGUAUUUCCUUUGAUAGUUUGAGUGACCGUUCGGUUGUUCCGGUUAGGUGUACCGGGUUGAGCUCAAUUAGAGCGGUAGGAAAGAAAAAGCGUAAGUACGCAAGAAUACUUGUUUUGUACCCGAUGAUAAAUAUGAUUUUCGUCCAUUAGCUUCAAAUAGCCGGUGAUAUCCGACGGUUUAGGGUUGCCAGAGCUAGAGCUUAGGGUAAACGGCGAAACUUAUUUUCGAGUUCGUUCGCAUACAACGUACUACGGAACAGUUUUUAUUUCCCACAAAUCUCGAAAAUAAAGCUGCAACGAGCAACCUAAACCUGGAACCGAUGAUGGAAGGCCCUACCGGAGAGCUGUUCAACUGCGUGACAUGUCGCCGCCCGGAUUCAGCGCAGAGCAUGGUCGCUUGUGACGAGUGUUCGCAAUGGCAACAUUAUGGAUGCGCCGGUGUUACUGCUACCAUAGCCGAUCGAAGCUGGCUCUGCUGCAGAUGCGUAGCUAGUCACAACGCAGUUAAUUCGACUCAAACCGGCAACAUAAACUCGCCCAAAGCACACACAACAUUUGCUUCAGCUCGCGCUGCUGAACGUGAUGGUAAUACCACCGAUCCAAUAAGUGGGAGAAAGGACGAUCGAAAUUUCGGAAGACUUCAAUCCUCGUCUAAUUCGAAUGCCGGAUCAGUCGUCUCAGUCAAUGCUAUUGCUCAUCUUCGU
Molecule: long non-coding RNA, 939 nt
Organism: Uranotaenia lowii
Lineage: Eukaryota; Metazoa; Arthropoda; Insecta; Diptera; Culicidae
Exons: 3
Source: RefSeq, a predicted model, not a curated record